This 253-nucleotide ribosomal RNA is filed under the name uncultured bacterium. RNAcentral describes it as "partial 16S ribosomal RNA". It matches the Rfam family "Bacterial small subunit ribosomal RNA", at positions 524 to 776 of the family's 1533-position model. The record is from RNAcentral.
UACGUAGGGUGCGAGCGUUGUCCGGAUUUAUUGGGCGUAAAGAGCUCGUAGGCGGUUUGUCGCGUCGGCCGUGAAAUCUCCACGCUUAACGUGGAGCGUGCGGUCGAUACGGGCAGACUUGAGUUCGGUAGGGGAGACUGGAAUUCCUGGUGUAGCGGUGAAAUGCGCAGAUAUCAGGGGGAACACCGGUGGCGAAGGCGGGUCUCUGGGCCGAUACUGACGCUGAGGAGCGAAAGCGUGGGGAGCGAACAGG